ACUACAUAUUGCACCUUUAAAAGGCGUGAAAACAGAAGCGUUUUGUCAUAAUUUCACAAAACAUUAUGCCCUGACAGACAUGAGCCGUGAUAUAAACUUGAAUAUAUACAUUUAAAAUGAUACUAACAACAACCCUAGAGUUCAGCUAGACGUUUCUCCUGUGGGAGAUGGGUCUAGCAAUGAGAGAUUACCAACCCAGGAAUACCUGUCUGCGGUCUGUCAGAGCCAUUCAAAUCCAAUCAUCAUAGUGACAACAACAACACAUCCUGAACGCAUGUACACCCUCACGGACACUUACGCGUCAGACCUUAUCUGAAUGCUCCGAGAGAUGAUGGGCUGAGGUUUAAUGAGAACGUGACAGUUCUAGUCAAGGUAUACACUAACCCGAACAUCAAGGCACUGAAAUGCUUUCACAUUUCCACAUAUGAAUUCCACAGAAUAUACAAUAUAAUCUAAUGAAGCGAAUUCUACGGAGACGCUUGCCUUCAAGGUCUGAGCUUUAAGAGGCGGAAGCAGAGAAUGCACUGUUAAUAGAAAGUCUUGUCACAGCUCCAGUCCAUCUCCACUCUCCAUUCAUAUCUGUCUCCCUUAUCUUCUCUCUGCUGCUUCCUCUCCAAGCACAACCUUUAUUUGCGAUUUUUUUCUCUUUUUUCCCCCCUUUUUUUUGCUUUUGUUCUCUCUCAUGCAUAAUCUGUGUUCUUUCCUGUCCUCACUUUAUUUCCCCCGGAGACAAUCGCUCUCUAUCUUUCCCCGGCUACUCCUCUCACUCCAUCGCUCUCCACUGCUCAGUCAGAAUAACAGCAGCGAUCUAUCAGAACAUUUUCUGUAACCAGAGGGCAAUUUUCUGGACCUGGCAGAGCAUCAGCCGUUUGCUAUACUGUACCAAGACGCUGUUGUGAUAAUAACGCCGAGAAAUCUAAUUAACACAGUAUAGUGUAUGUGCUAUAGCAGCAGAAGCAGAGAUACUAAAGCUGCAACAGUCCCGCUCAUGCAAAUUCAUGAGAUUGCCGCAGGGCUGUGCAUGACUGACACGGGCUGAGGGGAAGGGUGCAUGUAAAUAGUGGUUCAAGAAAAAAGGGUGUGCUCAGUGAUUAAGUGGACACACAAGCUCGGGACUCCAAUCAGGCCAAAUCAAUGUGAACUAAUCCUGUGGCAAUUAAGAAACCGUGGUUCAACGCCCAAGACCUAAUUCAAUUUCUCUCUGGGUUCUCGCUGUGGAAGGAUUGAUUGAAAGUCCUGGAUAAGAGCCAGACGACAGUGAAGUUAUGAGAGAUUUUUUUUUUUUUUUUCUUUUCACAGACAGCUCUUGGCAUUUAAGUCUACACUGAUCGCAGGUCAGACGUAAGUGUGUCUCAGUGUAUCGGCCCCAUAGCUCAAUGCUCGGCGGUGCUUUGAGGAAAUGAUAAAUGGGAUCCGGGUGAGAAAAAGGAACAGGAAGGCGGCUGAUGAGUGAGACGUUAGCAGUGUCGAUGAUGAUACUUUUUCUUCACCCUGAUUAGCCUCUCUUUUUCUUUUUUUUUUACUCUCAUCUCUCUCUCAUCGUAUUUACCACUGGAAUUAAAAUGGGAUCUGUGGAUAUGUGAUCCUGGUGAUUAACUAUCCGAUCUUGCCUUCGCAUUUACGCUUGUUUUUUUUUUUUUCAGUGCAUCCUCGUCUUCAUUAUCCUCAUUGUGGUGUAAUUUCUGCGCUCCACAGCAAAACCCUGCAUACAGGAGCGUGAAGCUCGGCGUGGUUGUUUUGCCCGAAGCAAGAGGCAGACGGCAGGAGAGGAAGAGUGCAGGGCAGCAGGCAGAACCUAUCAUAACACACACCGUUAAGCCCUCACAUGGGGUGAAGAGGGGCAGAGAGACAGAGGGAGCGAGAGCAACCCUCUCGCCAUCCACCGCGAGUAAAGUGGGACCGAAUGAGCAUCCAGAUCACCGCUUGGAUGAGUUACAGCUGAGGGACAGAUGCAUUGAACAGCUCAGAGG
Molecule: long non-coding RNA, 1970 nt
Organism: Acanthopagrus latus (yellowfin seabream)
Lineage: Eukaryota; Metazoa; Chordata; Actinopteri; Spariformes; Sparidae
Exons: 3
Source: RefSeq, a predicted model, not a curated record